RNAcentral lists this unclassified non-coding RNA (247 nucleotides) under uncultured fungus. Its description in RNAcentral is "sequence contains 5.8S rRNA gene". The record is from RNAcentral. Lineage: Eukaryota; Fungi.
GAACGCACAUUGCGCCCUUUGGUAUUCCAUAGGGCAUGCCUAUUCGAGCGUCAUUUUACCCUUCAAGCUCUGCUUGGUGUUGGGCGUCUGUUCUACUAUAUGUACGAACUCGCCUUAAAAUUAUUGGCAGCUGGUAUGUUGGCUUUAAGCGCAGCAGAAUUGCGUCUUCAAACCUAGCAAACUAGUAUCCAAAAGUUAUUUAAUCAUCUUGACCUCGGAUUAGGUAGGGAUACCCGCUGAACUUAAG